GGUGGCUGAGCCCCAGCGACGCCACAGCCGACUCAUAUACUCAAAUGCAUGUACAUUGCCAACUGUUACCUCCUUCCAUGACCAGUUAUGAAAAAGCCUCUAAAAUGAAGUAAGCAACAUUUAAGGCCUUGCAAUAAUUUUUCUAAUUUUGACCACAAGGCUAUGGGAGCUUUCAGGCAGACAAGCUUGAUCAGAGUAUCAUGACCAAUGUGAUUCAAGGCUUAUCUUUGUUUUAAGGCUAUAUCCAUUUGAAUUUUUGUUGUAUUCUUUAAUAUGACACAAACGUGUGAAUAUGUCUUCUGCCAUGGUAGCCAUUCAACGAAUUGUAGCAGUCAUUUGGGUCAUUUUAGUCAGUCUUAAAAGAUCUGUCUGUCUGAUGUGUAUUGUUUCUGUGUAAAUGUCUUCAUGAAAUAAAAAUUGAAAGAGUUUUCUGCCUUGUG
Long non-coding RNA from Clupea harengus (Atlantic herring), 440 nucleotides. RefSeq lists it as uncharacterized. The transcript is spliced from 2 exons. The record is from RefSeq and is a predicted model, not a curated record. NCBI's taxonomy places the organism in Eukaryota, Metazoa, Chordata, Actinopteri, Clupeiformes, Clupeidae.